This 371-nucleotide ribosomal RNA is filed under the name uncultured organism. RNAcentral's name for it is "partial 16S ribosomal RNA". It matches the Rfam family "Bacterial small subunit ribosomal RNA", at positions 527 to 896 of the family's 1533-position model. The record is from RNAcentral.
AGAGGGUGCGAGCGUUAAUCGGAAUUACUGGGCGUAAAGCGCACGUAGGUGGGAUAGCAAGUCGGAUGUGAAAUUCCUGGGCUCAACCUGGGCAUGUCAUUCGAAACUGCGAUUCUAGAGUAUAGUAGAGGGAAGUGGAAUUUCCGGUGUAGCGGUGAAAUGCGUAGAUAUCGGAAGGAACACCAGUGGCGAAGGCGACUUUCUGGACUAAUACUGACACUGAGGAGCGAAAGCGUGGGGGAGCGAACAGGAUUAGAUACCCUGGUAGUCCACGCUGUAAACGAUGAGUACUAGCCGUUGGGGUGAUAACCCAUCUUAGUGGCGCAGCAAACGCGAUAAGUACUCCGCCUGGGAUUACGGCCGCAAGGUUA